Molecule: transfer RNA, 72 nt
Filed under: Camelus bactrianus (Bactrian camel)
Lineage: Eukaryota; Metazoa; Chordata; Mammalia; Artiodactyla; Camelidae
Also listed under: 2 other names
Rfam family: tRNA
About the family: Transfer RNA (tRNA) molecules are approximately 80 nucleotides in length.
Source: Rfam by way of RNAcentral
GAGGGUAUGGCUCAGUGGUAGAGUGCGUGCUUAGCAUGCAUGAGGUCUUGGGUUCAAUCCCCAGUACCUCCA